Oncorhynchus tshawytscha (Chinook salmon) is the source of this 423-nucleotide long non-coding RNA. Lineage: Eukaryota; Metazoa; Chordata; Actinopteri; Salmoniformes; Salmonidae. The record is from Ensembl.
GUCUGUGUCUGUGCGCGCUCCUGUCCAGUCCUGUGGGAGUUGCUGGGGUACUUUGGGAUAUCCCCUUCCUGCUACUUUAUUACCCCGCUCCGAAGACAGCUAUGCGAGGAGGGCAGGCGCAUGGGCUAAACACUGGGCGAAACUCUCCCAACUCACUCUCUCUGAACGCGAACAUCGACUCGAGGACUGUGGAAGUUGUCAGGCUAUCCGCUCUCUGCCGCUCACUUCAACUAUACCGCUACCGGACGCCCCCGUGCGAGACUUCACCUCUGCCUGUCACACGGCUCCCGCCGCCGGGGACUGGAAUUUACAGGAGGCUGGAGUAGGCUACUAAAAGUGGAGUCAUCAUAUACCGUAGUUCAUAUUUUCUUUUGUUUCACGCGCUCUGUCCGGAGCAGCGUCUGUCAUCUCCCGAACUGGAUU